AGAUUGAACGCUGGCGGCAUGCCUAACACAUGCAAGUCGAACGGGAGUAGCAAUACUCUAGUGGCGGACGGGUGAGGAAUACGUAGGAAUUUGCCCUUAAGUGGGGGAUAACCCGGGGAAACCCGGAUUAAUACCGCAUGACCUCGAAAGAGCAAAGUGGGGGAUCGCAAGACCUCACGCUUUUGGAGAAGCCUACGUCGGAUUAGCUAGUUGGUGAGGUAAUGGCUCACCAAGGCGACGAUCCGUAACUGGUCUGANAGGAUGAUCAGUCACACCGG
Molecule: ribosomal RNA, 278 nt
Filed under: uncultured soil bacterium
Lineage: Bacteria
Description: partial 16S ribosomal RNA
Rfam family: Bacterial small subunit ribosomal RNA
Source: RNAcentral